Molecule: unclassified non-coding RNA, 2712 nt
Filed under: Hevea brasiliensis (rubber tree)
Lineage: Eukaryota; Viridiplantae; Streptophyta; Magnoliopsida; Malpighiales; Euphorbiaceae
Source: RNAcentral
ACUAUUAGGGGAUAAAUCACCCUUCUCACAGCAAAAUUUACAAGGAGAUGCUAUGGAUCGUGAUGAAGAGACUGCUCGGAUUCAAUAUUUGGCAGAGAUUGCUAAGUUUCUCGGUAUCACUACAACUAUUGACACAGAAGCUAUCCAAGGGCGUGGAAGUUAUGAGGAUCGAACUGAAAUGCUUCAGCUAAUAGUAGAUCUUGUGGAGGCGAGCAUAUAUGCUGAUAAUCCAGAAUGGAGUGUUGAUGAGCAGGUGGCAAAAGACAUACAGUUAAUAGAUUCUAUUGCAGAAAAACAGUCUCUAAUUUUCUCAGAGGAAUGCAAGUUGUUCCCUGCAGAUGUGCAGAUUCAAUCUAUAUAUCCAUUGUAAGAUUAUGCUUUCAUACGCUGCCAAUUAUCAUUUUCUCCGUUGUUUUAAACAAUAUAAAGCAUUUAUUCGAUCAUCCUGAAAUGAUUUAUAUAUUUAAGCUUGCUCCCACAUGGAUAAUGUCGACAAGCUGGAUAAUCUUUCAAUUUGAGGACUGUCUAUAAUUACCUGUGAAUUUUGGCCAUUUUUGUAGAUUGAAUGUCAUUGUGUAGUCCCAGACAAAACAUAAACAUCUUUCAAUCAAUUUGGAAAAAAAUUACUGGCACAAGAUGAUGUCAAACAUCUAUCAUGCUAUGAUUAUUUUUUCAUUGCAUGUGAUGUAGUAACAUCCUGUUCCUUUCAUCAAAGUACAUUUGCAGACCUGAUGUAUCUGAGCUGGAAACAAAACUUUCAGAGCAAUCAAAGAUACUAUUGAAUCUUCAGCAGAAAGUUGAUGAUUUGGCAUCAAAGGUUUAUCUCAGUUCCUUCGCAUUUGGAUCCUGAUUUGAAAAUUUGUGCUCUUUCACCUUUUUACCUCUUAUUUUUCUUCCCUGGAGAAUUCUCACAACUUAUUUUUAAAAGCAAGCUUUUGCUGAAUACUCAUAUUCUUCUGUUGGAGAGCAGUUCCAAUUCUUUUCUGUACCAUGACCACAUUUUACUGUACUCCCAAUAUCAUCAUGUUAUGUAAUUCUAUUUCCCGCCACCUUGGGCCCAAUUCCUGUUAACUUUGUGAACUUUUUUCUUUAGCAUGCUUACAAUCCAGAUGAGGAAUAUACAGAGGUGGAAUCCCAACUGCGGUCACAUUUGGAAUCUUUUCUAGAAACUGCAAGACAAUUCAAUGUGAUUUACACCAAGGUCUUCUUUUCCCUUACUUGAGCCUAGUCAAACAAAGAAUUAUUCCCUUAUUAUUAUGUUUGAUCUCUCUAUUUUGUUCUUAUUGCUUAUCUCAAUGGAGAAAAGAAAGAAAACAAAAAGAGGUGGAUUACUAUGAUGUAUUCAGUAAUCAGUAUGAUGAAUUAGCUUGCUUUUCCUCAACUUGUUUGCUAUAUUUUUUGGCUUGAUUGGCUAUCACUUUUUGGUUGAAACGCUUUAAGACCUUCGCGAUAUCAAUCUUAUGCUAGAAUUAUUAGCUGAAAACUUUAAUCUUGACUUUUAAGUAGAUGCUUAAAAGUCAUUCUGUGGAGUUUUAUUGUACAAGCUGAUAUCUUUGUACAUUUUGGCUAUCAUGUUUGUUUAGGAAAUUCGCCCAUGGACACACAUGAUGGAGGUGCCACAACUUCAUGGGUUUGGGCCAGCUGCUAAUCGCUUGUUGGAGGCAUACAAGAUGCUUUUGAAGGUAUAUUAGUAUCAAAUCCAUUUUGAUGUUCUGCUGCUUGAACUAUUGUAUUGUGUGAAUUUAAUUUUAUCUCAAAUAUCAGCAAUUUCAUGAAUCUGGCUAUAUUGAUAUGUCACUGAUGUAAUAGUACUAUACAACAUUUUAUUUUUAAACUUGAAUGUAUUGAUGCUAAUCAAUCCAAUAUUUGUGACCAACUGGACUCGGUAAAAUUAGCUGGUUAAUCAGUUUAAUUACAGAAGUGUUCCAACUUAAUGUCCAGACUGGUAUCUGACCUGACAGGCUGGUUCAGAUUUAACAACUAUGGUUGGGCAACCAGUAAAACGGCGUUAAUAGUUAGCCCAGCUUGGGCAUCUUUCAAGAGUCUAGUUUAUUCGUGAAAAUUUCAUUUGUUUUGCGCCAUAUAGUUGACUUACAUGGUUGAAUGUUAAAUUUGGGUACUCCAAAUAACAUGCUGGCCCAAAGAUUACUUUGCAACCCAUUACUAUUGGGGAGUUACUUUCUGACGUCCGCACUUUUCUGCAUCAUAUGAAUUUUUGAAGAUAGUGCAUUUUUAGUUCAAAGUCCUUCACAAAUUACAAUAGCCUUUUUUUAUAUAGACGCUAGAGACUAGACCAAACGCAUCUAACCUUCAGAUAAACUCCCUGCUCAAUUACUCUAGUUUUUGUUGCUUCUCUUCAGAAGAGUAAAGAAUUAGUAAUGGUUAAUUUUUUUAGUUUUAUAAAAUGCUAGGUGUGGUUGUACAUUGUUUAUUUUACUGUCGGAAUUAUCUAUGUUCUGCUUUUAUGGCAGUUUUUGGGGAACUUGAGGAAUCUCAGAGAUUCACAUGCAGCUCUGUCUGUUGGUUCCUCUGAAACAAUAGCUGGUGAACCCUCUUCAGUUACAAGAAUAAUUUCAGAGUGUGAGUCUGCAUUGACUUUCUUAAAUCGUGAUCUUGGAAUCCUGUCAGCUUCAAUUGCACGUGAGCGAGGUAAUGAUGCAACUCUAUGAUGAAUGCAGUACAAGAUAGGCACUUACCAACAUGAUCUCUUGA